GACGAACGCUGGCGGCGUGCCUAAUACAUGCAAGUUGAGCGCUGAAGGUUGGUACUUGUACCAACUGGAUGAGCAGCGAACGGGUGAGUAACGCGUGGGGAAUCUGCCUUUGAGCGGGGGACAACAUUUGGAAACGAAUGCUAAUACCGCAUAAAAACUUUAAACACAAGGUUUAAGUUUGAAAGACGCAAUUGCAUCACUCAAAGAUGAUCCCGCGUUGUAUUAGCUAGUUGGUGAGGUAAAGGCUCACCAAGGCGAGGAUACAUAGCCGACCUGAGAGGGUGGGUGGCCACCUUGGGACUGAGACACGGCCCAAACUCCUACGGGAGGCAGCAGGAGUGAAUCUUCGGCAAUGGGCGAAAGUCUGACCGAGCAACGCCGCGUGAGUGAAGAAGGUUUUCGGGUCGUGAAACUCUGUUGGUAGGGAAGAACGUUGGUGAGAGUGGAAAGCUCAGCAAGUGACGGUAACUACCCAGAAAGGGACGGCUAACUACGUG
Molecule: ribosomal RNA, 497 nt
Filed under: uncultured bacterium
Lineage: Bacteria
Description: partial 16S ribosomal RNA
Rfam family: Bacterial small subunit ribosomal RNA
Source: RNAcentral